UGGGGAAUAUUGCACAAUGGGCGCAAGCCUGAUGCAGCCAUGCCGCGUGUAUGAAGAAGGCCUUCGGGUUGUAAAGUACUUUCAGCGGGGAGGAAGGGAGUAAAGUUAAUACCUUUGCUCAUUGACGUUACCCGCAGAAGAAGCACCGGCUAACUCCGUGCCAGCAGCCGCGGUAAUACGGAGGGUGCAAGCGUUAAUCGGAAUUACUGGGCGUAAAGCGCACGCAGGCGGUUUGUUAAGUCAGAUGUGAAAUCCCCGGGCUCAACCUGGGAACUGCAUUCUAAACUGGCAGGCUAGAGUCUUGUAGAGGGGGGUAGAAUUCCAGGUGUAGCGGUGAAAUGCGUAGAGAUCUGGAGGAAUACCGGUGGCGAAGGCGGCCCCCUGGACAAAGACUGACGCUCAGGUGCGAAAGAGUGGGGAGCAAACAGG
Molecule: ribosomal RNA, 429 nt
Filed under: Chloroflexota bacterium
Lineage: Bacteria; Bacillati; Chloroflexota
Description: Chloroflexi bacterium partial 16S ribosomal RNA
Rfam family: Bacterial small subunit ribosomal RNA
Source: RNAcentral